Molecule: unclassified non-coding RNA, 230 nt
Filed under: plant metagenome
Description: partial contains small subunit ribosomal RNA, internal transcribed spacer 1, and 5.8S ribosomal RNA
Source: RNAcentral
CCUCCGUAGGUGAACCUGCGGAGGGAUCAUUACAGAGUUCUCGCCCUCACGGGUAGAUCUCCCACCCACUGUUAUCGUUACUGUCGUUUCUUUGGCGGGCCGCCGGGUCCCCGGCCGCCGGCGCCUAGCUGCCGGCGCGCGCCCGCCAGAGGCCUUCAAACUCUGAAUGUUAGUGUCGUCUGAGUACUAUAUAAUAGUUAAAACUUUCAACAACGGAUCUCUUGGUUCUG